CUUUGCCACUCCACUUCUUGGCCUGCGGCGGCAUAUCAAAAGGAGGAAGAUCCGCUGUGACUGGCGGUGCGGCAGUGUGGAGACCUGUCGUAAGGCGGCGCGCUGUAAAGCGGCUGCGAGACCGUUCCUUGCGGAGGCAGAACGGUUACAGUCAUUCAUUAUGGCA
Molecule: non-coding RNA, 166 nt
Filed under: human gut metagenome
Description: malK-I RNA
Rfam family: malK-I RNA
Source: RNAcentral